Molecule: long non-coding RNA, 937 nt
Organism: Dromaius novaehollandiae (emu)
Lineage: Eukaryota; Metazoa; Chordata; Aves; Casuariiformes; Dromaiidae
Exons: 2
Source: RefSeq, a predicted model, not a curated record
AACUUGGGACGCCAGAGUAAAAACUGCCGCAGAGCUUAAGGGAGGCUCUGCAUUUGCCCAGGUUAGGGAGCCAUCGUUAAAGCUUUGGGGGAAGAAAGCUCUAAAAGGAGAAUCUCCCAGUGACCUUGGUGGCUUGAUUCACUUGCAGGAUGCUGUUCUGAGGGCCAGCAACUCGAAGGGAUGCAGCUCAGCCCGUUUUGUUGACUUCGGUGAUGCUGUUUUGAGGAAGCAUGUGCCGAAGCCCAGUCGGGCAGUCGAAGGAGCCUUGUCACAGCUGGGAGCUCUGCGGAGAUGCGCGGCUGGCCAUGGAGAGUGAGCUCUGACUUGCAGCGUGGACACAGCUAAGUCCUGGGCUGCAUCAUAUGUGAGCAGUGCUGGGAGAUGCGAGGUGAUUGUUCCCUAGGUGGUCACUGGUGUCACUGGCUGUGGCUGUUUGCCCAUGGAGCUGAGGACCAAAAAUGUUAAUUGUCUGACCCGGAGAUGAAUUAGUGCUUGCAGUGCUUCAGGUAGGUUCAGUGCAAGUGCAGCUUAGUGCAGUCCUGUGGAGUGAUUCUUGCACAUGCUCACAUUUGAAUGGUGGCUAAAACCAAGCCUCUAAACAGCAGCUGUAACGUGAUUCUGGUGCAUGUCUUCCUGUUCUGCUGUGCUUCUAGAAGAAGGGAAAACUUCUUAAGCUGUGGGCAAAACUCCUUGCCUUCUCUUUACUGUUUUCAUGCAUAUGGGUGCUUUGGUGUUUGUUGCUUAAAGCUGAGGGUUUGGAAUUUUUCACUUAAGGUUUAUUGUUUAGUUUGUUGUUGAGGGUCUCUCACUCCGGAGUUACAGUUUAUUCCUUUCUUUUGUGGGGCUCAGUCUUUAUCAGUCAGGGUUUACAGUUUGCUCGUUUAGUGAUCAGGGCGCAGAAUUUAAAAUCCAACCUUAGCCAUAAAUUUUAAAGUCU